UUCAGCAUUCAGUUCCGAACACUUUAAAAAGCUUCAUCAAAUUCAGAUGAAUAGUUCAUCCAAAAAUAAACCAAAAAUAUAUCAUGCACAUCUGGUUCUGGAAAUUUCUGAAGGUUUUCCAUAAUAACAUCAUUUUCCUCUUCAAUUGGUAUAAGAAGCCACAUUCACAAAUGCACAAUUCAAUGUACAUGUACAGUACAAUGGCUGAAUAUGCAUUUAAUGAAAUGACUGCCAUGGUCAUAUGCUAUGGUGCUGCUACUGUGAAUGUUGCUAUUGCAGCUCGACUUUAUCAGGAAAGAUAUCCCUUAACAUGAAUACUUAGAUCUAUAUGUCAAUU
RNAcentral lists this long non-coding RNA (337 nucleotides) under Androctonus crassicauda. Lineage: Eukaryota; Metazoa; Arthropoda; Arachnida; Scorpiones; Buthidae. The record is from RNAcentral.